Molecule: ribosomal RNA, 502 nt
Filed under: uncultured Glomeromycotina
Lineage: Eukaryota; Fungi; Glomeromycota
Description: partial small subunit ribosomal RNA
Rfam family: Eukaryotic small subunit ribosomal RNA
Source: RNAcentral
CCAAUAGCGUAUAUUGAAGUUGUUGCAGUUAAAAAGCUCGUGGUUGAACUUCGGGGUUUACCCAUUGGUCAGGCUUAAUUGUUUGUACUGGUGAGAUAAAUCUCUACCUUCUGAGGAACUUUCAUGUCAUUAAUUUGGUGUGAUUGGAAAUCAGGACUGUUACUUUGAAAAAAUUAGAGUGUUUAAAGCAGGCUAACGUCUGAAUACAUUAGCAUGGAAUAAUGAAAUAGGACGGAUUGAUUCUAUUUCGUUGGUUUCUAGGAUCACCGUAAUGAUUAAUAGGGAUAGUUGGGGGCAUUAGUAUUCAAUUGUCAGAGGUGAAAUUCUUGGAUUUAUUGAAGACUAACUACUGCGAAAGCAUUUGCCAAGGAUGUUUUCAUUAAUCAAGAACGAAAGUUAGGGGAUCGAAGACGAUCAGAUACCGUCGUAGUCUUAACCAUAAACUAUGCCGACUAGGGAUCGGACGAAGUUAAUUUUAUAAUGACGCGUUCGGCACCUUACG